UCGGGAUCAAAAAUAUGGAGAGCCUAGCGAAAAUCACGAGUUCCAGUCCUCACACAGACACAGUCGGUGUCAUAUGACUUCAAAAGUCUUGUAAUGUAUCAUACAAGACAUAUGGACUUGUUUUAUGUUUUUUUUUUCUUGACAUUCACCCCUAUCCAUUGUUUUUCACUGGAAAAGACGACCAUGACGUUAUACUUUUCUCUCCUGUAUACUGGGUAAGAAAAGACAAGAGGGGACUGUCGGAAAACUGACAGAGACACUGAGAUGAGAGAUUGUGCAUUAGAAAUGGAUUGCAGUUCAUUUCUGUUCCAGUUCUGUAUCUGCAGUGGAAUUACAGACCUCCAGGUGGGAAACAUAGAUGAAAGAGCUGGAGAAUCUGGAAUGUUCGAUGGGAUUUCAGCAUUUGGGGGGCCUCAAACAGUACCCGAGAGCUGAUCUGAAAACAGCAGCAGGAGGCCUUUGCUUGCAAAGCGAGCAAGAGAAAACAACAAAGAGAAAGAGGAAGAACGAGCGAAGAGGUGGCAGAGAUAUCAUGCUUCUCAGUGAUGUUACAUUGCCAAAUCUGGCUCCUCAACAAACACAAAGACUCCCCUCAGGGAUGCUGAUUUUACCCAUUAAUUCCAGAUUAGCAGAGUGGACAUGGUGGAUUCUGCCAACUAGAAGCCGAUGUAUAAUUUGGAUACGGGACGCAAGGUGCCAUAGCUUCAUUUAGAGGGAGAUACAGAUGGAAUGUUAAGGGGUGAGAGGUCCUUCGGAUACAGAUGGCUGAUCUAGAGGUGUUGACCAAAUUGGUUUAGAAGGCCUACACGAAGUCCUGAGAUGUCCAUUUGUGAGAUGAUUCCAUUACACUCUGCCUCUCUUUAGAGCUGAAAACUUGGCAGACUCCGGAGAACUUCUGAGGAGAACCAUCCAUCAGUCAUAGUUAGGACUAAUGAUGUGUCCAUUUUGACACUUCAGAAUCAGUCACGGCAAAUUGCUCUGUCGGGAGGGAAAACAUUGAGAGAGAUAGCCUCGCCCUGAUAUAAUUUGUCGCUGCAAAUGACAAAACAGAGCAGAGAAUAAUAUGUGAAGUCAAGUUUAGUGAGAGAGAAAAUGGAAAAAUUUAGGGUUGUGAGGCACCUUAAUGGAUAUCCUUGCAGCUAGAUGAAAAUGGGCUCGAGUAAUGUGUCCUUAAUGUGAGCCAGCCGGGUUUCUCGGAGUGUAUCAAGAGAAAGGUGCCCUGUCAUUUCGGCUAGCAAUCACUUAAUGGGGACGGUAAAUCUCAACAAAAUGGACAUGCACUGUGCUAUUUCUGGCUUCAGCAGAUGGAGUGAGUGAUUGGCUCUGGUGAAAGGGAAAAAAAAAUAAAACAACGGAGGGGAAAAGUAACUUGGAAAAAACAAAGAGGAGGACUCAAAGAGCAAAAAAAGCAAUCUCUUCCGUCUGGGGUUUGUGUGCUGUUUGUGUUUUGCAAAAGUGCAGAGACAGUGACAGGAAUUUCAAUUAUCUAAUUACGGCAAAAUGAAAAGACAUAAAUGUUGUGAUUUCUGCUGUCUUUCAUAGAUCAAUCUAAUGUGCGCUCACAUUGAAAAUCCAGCAAAAUGGAAGAGGCAAAGUGAGGCAGCGUCUCUUCAAAUCAUGCAAUUAAAAUGACAAAUUAGUUUCUUGAUAUAUUCAUCUAAGUGGUUAAGUGGAAGGGUUUUAUUCCAUACUCAGUGCCGUCAAGCAGGGAUGGGAGGGAGAAUCGUCUGCAUGCUCUUUUGAUUAAGGCAGCCGCUUAAAUGCCGGGAAAAUGUUGAAAGCACUUGCCAUACAAAUUAGCCAACCGAAGGCUGCGAAAUGAAAUUCUAAAGAGUUGAUUUAGGCAUUUAGGGGGAUGCGCCUGGCAGCUUAAAGGAUUCAAAGACAUUUCUCAGGCAGUGUGCAUUAUGUUGGAGGGGUCAGGGCUGAAACUGGUUUGUGUUUUGUACCAUUAUGAAAGGGCAAACCACUGAAAAGGAGACACUGGAAACAGAAAUUAUUUCAAUAUCCUUUUGAUCCAAGAGUAAACUGGAGGAGUUAUUAGCUGAACGUGGCUAUAAAGAAAAUUCAUGAACUGUCUGUCAGUCAAUCUAUCUAUCUAUCUAUCUAUCUAUCUAUCUAUUUUAUUCUAUCCAUUCUGUCUAUCCAUUCUAUCUAUCUAUCUAUCUAUUUUAUUCUAUCCAUUCUAUGUCUAUCCAUUCUAUCUAUCUAUCUAUCUAUUUUAUUCUAUCCAUUCUAUCUGUCUAUCCAUUCUAUCUAUCUAUCUAUCUAUCUAUCUAUCUAUCUAUCUAUCUAUCU
Long non-coding RNA from Ctenopharyngodon idella (grass carp), 2298 nucleotides. RefSeq lists it as uncharacterized. The record is from RefSeq and is a predicted model, not a curated record. Lineage: Eukaryota; Metazoa; Chordata; Actinopteri; Cypriniformes; Xenocyprididae. The transcript is spliced from 5 exons.